RNAcentral lists this ribosomal RNA (806 nucleotides) under uncultured Glomus. RNAcentral's name for it is "SSU rRNA". It matches the Rfam family "Eukaryotic small subunit ribosomal RNA", at positions 314 to 1114 of the family's 1831-position model. The record is from RNAcentral. Lineage: Eukaryota; Fungi; Glomeromycota; Glomeromycetes; Glomerales; Glomeraceae.
AUCAACUUUCGAUGGUAGGAUAGAGGCCUACCAUAGUUUUAACGGGUAACGGGGAAUUAGGGUUCGAUUCCGGAGAGGGAGCCUGAGAAACGGCUACCACAUCCAAGGAAGGCAGCAGGCGCGCAAAUUACCCAAUCCCGACACGGGGAGGUAGUGACAAUAAAUAACAAUACGGGGCUCAUUUGGGUCUCGUAAUUGGAAUGAGUACAAUUUAAAUCCCUUAACGAGGAACAAUUGGAGGGCAAGUCUGGUGCCAGCAGCCGCGGUAAUUCCAGCUCCAAUAGCGUAUAUUAAAGUUGUUGCAGUUAAAAAGCUCGUAGUUGAAUUUCGGGAUUUGCACAUCGGUCGUGCCUUAAGGGGUAUGAACUGGUGUAGUGAAUUUCUCACCUUCUGGAGAACCGUGAUGUCCUUAAUUGGGUGCCACGAGGAACCAGGACCUUUACUUUGAAAAAAUUAGAGUGUUUAAAGCAGGCAUUUUUGCUUGAAUACAUUAGCAUGGAAUAAUAAAAUAGGACGGCAUGAUUCUAUUUUGUUGGUUUCUAGGAUCACCGUAAUGAUUAAUAGGGAUAGUUGGGGGCAUUAGUAUUCAAUUGUCAGAGGUGAAAUUCUUGGAUUUAUUGAAGACUAACUACUGCGAAAGCAUUUGCCAAGGAUGUUUUCAUUAAUCAAGAACGAAAGUUAGGGGAUCGAAGACGAUCAGAUACCGUCGUAGUCUUAACCAUAAACUAUGCCGACUAGGAAUCAGACGAUGUUAAUUUUUUAAUGACUCGUUUGGCACCUUACGGGAAACCAAAGUGUUUGGGUUC